Molecule: ribosomal RNA, 2601 nt
Filed under: Triticum aestivum (bread wheat)
Lineage: Eukaryota; Viridiplantae; Streptophyta; Magnoliopsida; Poales; Poaceae
Description: partial small subunit ribosomal RNA
Source: RNAcentral
AUGUACUCACCAUAUAUGGACACUGAUUUGAGUACCAUACUAUGUACUUGUAGUAUCCACGUGAACAAGAUGUUCUCCGUGGCGUCAGUGGUAUCAAGCCUUGCAACCUCCGUUCUUGGAAAGGCUGCAUCCUUUGGUACUGACUGGGCUGUUAAUGAGAUCAAGUCAGCCUGGAACGCCCAGGAAGAGCUUCACAAGUUGGAAAACUCAUUGAAAUUUAUCUGUGGUGUUCUUCGAGAUGCUGAGGACAGGGAGUCAGCUUCUCAUGUCCUUCACGAGUGGCUGGACUGUUUGAAGGAUGCGGUCUAUGACAUAGAUGAUCUUUUGGACGAUGCGUCCACCGAAGCUCUCAUUCUACAAGUUCAUAAGGGUUUAUCUCGCAUUCAGUCUAUGAGCCUUCUCAUUACUGGUCCAUUCAAAUUGAGUCACAAAAUAGAACAAGUUCGUAAAAAACUUGAUGAGAUAGCAAAGGACAGAGGGCAAUUUGGUUUAAAUGAGCAACCAAUUAUUGACAGCCGGAUGUUCAGGAGCAGCAACAGGGAAACUCAUUCUUUCAUCACCGAAUCAGAUAUUAUUGGAAGAGCUGAAGCCAAAAAGAAGAUAAUUGAAAAGAUAUUGACAGCUAAAGACUCAAAACCCUUGUCUGUUCUUCCGAUUGUCGGUUUAGGAGGAAUUGGAAAAACUGCUUUAGCAAAAUGGAUUUACAAUGAUGUUCAGGUUACCCAGAAUUUUGAGAUGAAAUUAUGGGUUUGUGUAUCUGAUGUGUUUAAUUUAAAAAAGAUCUUGGAUGAUAUAAUACAAUCAGGUACAGGUGAAAGCAACAUGAAGCUAAAUCUAGAGAUGCUGCAAAGGAAGUUGUGUGAACUUUUGAAGGAAAGAAGAUAUUUUCUAGUGCUAGAUGAUCUCUGGAAUGAUAAACUUGCAGACUGGGAAGAGCUGAGAAGGCUGCUGUCUAGUGGUGGAAGAGGAAGUGUCAUUAUAGUUACCACACGCAGUUCAAAUGUUGCAUCAAUGGUGAAGACUAUGGAGCCAUAUGACGUGGAAAAACUGCCAGAUGAUAAGUGCAUGCAAAUAUUUACCCAGUACGCAUUCAGAGGUGAGGAAGAGGACAUGAUGGACCAACAGUUAGUAAGUAUUGGGGAGUCCAUUGUGAAAAAGUGUUGUGGUGUUCCUUUGGCAGCCAGGACGCUGGGUUCCCUAUUGUCAAGAUGUCGAGAUAUUGAAGAAUGGCGACAUGUUCUGGAGGACAAUUUGUGGAAUAUGGAGCAGAACACAGAUGAUAUCUUGCCAGCAUUGAAAUUGAGUUAUGAUGCACUUCCACCUCAUCUACGACCAUGCUUUUCUUGCUUGACAGUUUUUCCAAAAGGCCACACAAUUUACCAGGACAUUUUGAUUAUGUUUUGGAUGGCUCUGGGAUUGAUUCGUCCAUCUAAUAAACGCACUCAGCUACAAACUGGAGAGAAGUAUUUUAAAGAACUACUUGGGAGAUCUUUAUUCCAGGAUCAGUGCGUCCUUUCUGAUAACAGGGUUUUCUACUGUAAAAUGCAUGAUCUUAUUCAUGACCUUGCAACCUUGGUAUCCCAAAAGGAGCAUGCCAUUGUAAGUUCUGAAAAGGUAACAGUCUCUGAGAGUGUCAGGCACCUAGUUUGGGACCGUGAGAACUUCUCCAUAGGACUCAAUUUUCCUGAGGAACUGAAGAAGGCAAAUAAGACAAGAACAUUUACAAUCAGAUCAAGCUUUGGUACCGUGAGCAAAUCCUUCAUUGAUGACCUUUUCUCAAGUUUCACACUCCUCCGUGCUGUGACAUUUUUUGGAGUUGACUUUGAAGUACUGCCGAGUUCCAUUGGAGAUUUGAAGCACCUGAGGUACCUGCUUAUACAGUUUAAUGGCAAACUCAGAUUAUUGCCGAAGUCCUUAGGUAAGCUGGUGAAUUUGGAAAUGCUUCAUCUCUAUGGCUGCAACCAGUUAGAGGAGUUCCCAAAUGAAGCUCGCAACCUUGUUAGCCUUGUAUACUUCAACCUCACAUCAAAGCAGAAGUAUCUAAGGCUGUGUGGUUGGUCCUCUCUCGCAAUUCUGAAAAUGAGCUAUUGCUAUGAACUGAUAUCAUUGGAAGAGGGUUUUGACAGCUUGAGAGCCCUCCGAGAGCUACUCAUCUUUGAUUGUCCGAAGCCGACCGCUCUCCCCUCCAGCAUAUGGCAACUCUCUACACUUGUUGCAUUGAGUAUUAGUGGCUGUGAAGAGUUAGAUUUGAUGGUACCAGCUGGGGAAGCCUCGGGAGGACUAUAUAGUCUUCAGAACCUGCAGCUUGGUCGUCUUCCAAAGGUGACACACCUUCCAGAGAGCUUUAAGUCUGCUUCUUCCUCUCUUCAAUAUAUAGAGAUUGUCGGUUGUGGAAACCUGGAGAGGCUGCCAAGUUACAUCCAAGAUUUCCGUUUUCUUAAGAGAGCCGUGAUUAACGGCUGCCCUGAGCUGAGCAUAAGAUGCGCGGUCGAAUCCGGAGAGGAUUACCCUUUUGUAAGCCAUAUCCCCGAGGUGUACACCGAUGGGACUCCACUGUCAAAAGCAAGCUCACCUGGUGAAGAACGUUCUUCGCUUGAUUGA